This 200-nucleotide ribosomal RNA is filed under the name uncultured organism. RNAcentral's name for it is "partial small subunit ribosomal RNA". It matches the Rfam family "Bacterial small subunit ribosomal RNA", at positions 1182 to 1382 of the family's 1533-position model. The record is from RNAcentral.
ACGUCAAGUCCUCAUGGCCCUUAUGGGCUGGGCUACACACGUGCUACAAUGGCGGUGACAGUGGGAUGCCAGGCCGCGAGGCCGAGCCGAUCCCGAAAAGCCGUCUCAGUUCGGAUCGCGGCCUGCAACUCGGCCGCGUGAAGGCGGAAUCGCUAGUAAUCGCGGAUCAGCAUGCCGCGGUGAAUACGUUCCCGGGCCUU